Molecule: ribosomal RNA, 325 nt
Filed under: uncultured Sphingobacteriales bacterium
Lineage: Bacteria; Pseudomonadati; Bacteroidota; Sphingobacteriia; Sphingobacteriales
Description: bacterial SSU rRNA
Rfam family: Bacterial small subunit ribosomal RNA
Source: RNAcentral
GCUCGUGCCGUGAGGUGUCGGGUUAAGUCCCAUAACGAGCGCAACCCCUAUCAUUAGUUGCCAUCAGGUCAAGCUGGGGACUCUAAUGAAACUGCCUACGCAAGUAGUGAGGAAGGUGGGGAUGACGUCAAAUCAGCACGGCCCUUACGUCCAGGGCUACACACGUGCUACAAUGGCCGGUACAAAGGGCAGCUACCUGGUGGCAGGAUGCUAAUCUCAAAAGCCGGUCUACAGUUCGGAUUGCAGUCUGCAACUCGACUGCAUGAAGUUGGAAUCGCUAGUAAUCGUGGAUCAGCCAAGCCGCGGUGAAUACGUUCCCGGCCUU